This 724-nucleotide ribosomal RNA is filed under the name uncultured bacterium. RNAcentral describes it as "bacterial SSU rRNA". It matches the Rfam family "Bacterial small subunit ribosomal RNA", at positions 28 to 776 of the family's 1533-position model. The record is from RNAcentral.
GAUGAACGCUGACAGAAUGCUUAACACAUGCAAGUCUACUUGAUCCUUCGGGUGAUGGUGGCGGACGGGUGAGUAACGCGUAAAGAACUUGCCCUGCAGUCUAGGACAACAUUUGGAAACGAAUGCUAAUACCGGAUAUUAUGUGAGUUUCGCAUGAAAUUCAUAUGAAAGCUAUAUGCGCUGCAGGAGAGCUUUGCGUCCUAUUAGCUAGUUGGUGAGGUAACGGCUCACCAAGGCGAUGAUAGGUAGCCGGCCUGAGAGGGUGAACGGCCACAAGGGGACUGAGACACGGCCCUUACUCCUACGGGAGGCAGCAGUGGGGAAUAUUGGACAAUGGACCAAAAGUCUGAUCCAGCAAUUCUGUGUGCACGAUGAAGUUUUUCGGAAUGUAAAGUGCUUUCAGUUGGGACGAAGUAAGUGACGGUACCAACAGAAGAAGCGACGGCUAAAUACGUGCCAGCAGCCGCGGUAAUACGUAUGUCGCAAGCGUUAUCCGGAUUUAUUGGGCGUAAAGCGCGUCUAGGCGGUUUGGUAAGUCUGAUGUGAAAAUGCGGGGCUCAACUCCGUAUUGCGUUGGAAACUGCCAAACUAGAGUACUGGAGAGGUGGGCGGAACUACAAGUGUAGAGGUGAAAUUCGUAGAUAUUUGUAGGAAUGCCGAUGGGGAAGCCAGCCUACUGGACAGAUACUGACGCUAAAGCGCGAAAGCGUGGGUAGCAAACAGG